Long non-coding RNA from Myzus persicae (green peach aphid), 758 nucleotides. RefSeq lists it as uncharacterized. The record is from RefSeq and is a predicted model, not a curated record. The transcript is spliced from 5 exons. Lineage: Eukaryota; Metazoa; Arthropoda; Insecta; Hemiptera; Aphididae.
AAUGGCCCAGUCGGUGUCUUCUUAAUUAAAAACAUUUCAUUUGAAUUCAAAAUACAAAACAUACUACACCAAUGUGGUUUGAAUAGAACAAAAUGUCGCUGUUUAAUGUUUAUCCCAUAAACGUAUGAAAAAAUCAUCCACUGUGUGAAAAGAAAUAACGCAAUUUAAUACAAUGUCAUCUUCCAGUUAAUCAGCUAUAAUAGUAAAAGCCAAGCGAGAAAAACAAAAUGGCUCAGUGUCUUUCAUUUGAAUGCAGAAUACCAAAGAAGUUAUAACUACUUGGCUUGAAUAGUACUUAAUGUCGCGGUCCAAUAUUCAUCUCAUAAAUGUACAGAAAAAUCAUCCCCGGUGGCAGUGUAUCACAACACAACACAAGCUUAGCUCUGUGGUUCGUGUCUACAUAAACAAAUCCAGUUGUUUGAAAAUGUAAUAAAAAAUGUUUUAUUCAAAAACAGAAAAGACAUAACAGAUAUAGUUGGAGUAUAACACAGUGUCACUAUUAAAUGUUAAUGUUGUUUAGUCUAUCGGUCCAUGCAAAAUUGGUUCAAUAAGUCUUCCAAAAAAAAGAAGCAUUUCAUUUGAUUUCAAAGAACAAAAUAAAUUAUAUGGGCAUUGCUUAUACAGAACGAGACGUCACUGUUUAAUGUAUAUCUCAUAAACAGAAAAAUAUGGAAAUAUAUAUUGUAUAAAUAUGUAAAAAUCUUAAUACUGUACAAGACAAAUUGGCCAAACAAAAUGGCCCAGUCGGUGUCUUCUUA